UACGUAGGGUGCGAGCGUUAAUCGGAAUUACUGGGCGUAAAGCGUGCGCAGGCGGUUUUGCAAGCCGGAUGUGAAAUCCCCGGGCUCAACCUGGGAAUGGCAUUCGGGACUGCAAGGCUGGAGUGCGGCAGAGGAGACUGGAAUUCCUGGUGUAGCAGUGAAAUGCGUAGAUAUCAGGAGGAACACCUGUGGCGAAAGCGGCUCACUGGACCAUAACUGACGCUGAUGCACGAAAGCUAGGGGAGCAAACAGG
This 253-nucleotide ribosomal RNA is filed under the name uncultured bacterium. RNAcentral describes it as "partial 16S ribosomal RNA". It matches the Rfam family "Bacterial small subunit ribosomal RNA", at positions 524 to 776 of the family's 1533-position model. The record is from RNAcentral.